GAUGAACGCUGGCGGCGUGCCUAAUACAUGCAAGUCGAGCGAACAGAUGAGGAGCUUGCUCCUCUGACGUUAGCGGCGGACGGGUGAGUAACACGUGGAUAACCUACCUCUAUGACUGGGAUAACUUCGGGAAACCGGAGCUACUACCAGAUCAUAUAUUGAACCGCAUGGUUCAAUAGUGAAAGACGGUUUUGCUGUCACUUAUAGAUGGAUCCGCGCCGCAUUAGCUAGUUGGUAAGGUAACGGCUUACCAAGGCAACGAUGCGUAGCCGACCUGAGAGGAUGAUCGGCCACACUGGAACUGAGACACGGUCCAGACUCCUACGGGAGGCAGCAGUAGGGAAUCUUCCGCAAUGGGCGAAAGCCUGACGGAGCAACGCCGCGUGAGUGAUGAAGGUCUUCGGAUCGUAAAACUCUGUUAUUAGGGAAGAACAAAUGUGUAAGUAACUAUGCACGUCUUGACGGUACCUAAUCAGAAAGCCACGGCUAACUACGUG
RNAcentral lists this ribosomal RNA (497 nucleotides) under uncultured bacterium. RNAcentral describes it as "partial 16S ribosomal RNA". It matches the Rfam family "Bacterial small subunit ribosomal RNA", at positions 28 to 507 of the family's 1533-position model. The record is from RNAcentral.